AGUGAACGCUGGCGGUAGACCUAACACAUGCAAGUCGAACGGCAGCACAGUAAGAGCUUGCUCUUACGGGUGGCGAGUGGCGGACGGGUGAGGAAUACAUCGGAAUCUACUUUUUCGUGGGGGAUAACGUAGGGAAACUUACGCUAAUACCGCAUACGACCUACGGGUGAAAGCAGGGGAUCUUCGGACCUUGCGCGAUUGAAUGAGCCGAUGUCGGAUUAGCUAGUUAGCGGGGUAAAGGCCCACCAAGGCGACGAUCCGUAGCUGGUCUGAGAGGAUGAUCAGCCACACUGGAACUGAGACACGGUCCAGACUCCUACGGGAGGCAGCAGUGGGGAAUAUUGGACAAUGGGCGCAAGCCUGAUCCAGCCAUACCGCGUGGGUGAAGAAGGCCUUCGGGUUGUAAAGCCCUUUUGUUGGGAAAGAAAAGCAGCAGGUUAAUACCCCGCUGUUCUGACGGUACCCAAAGAAUAAGCACCGGCUAACUUCGUG
Molecule: ribosomal RNA, 492 nt
Filed under: uncultured bacterium
Lineage: Bacteria
Description: partial 16S ribosomal RNA
Rfam family: Bacterial small subunit ribosomal RNA
Source: RNAcentral